GGAUUGUGGCUCAGUGGUAGAGUACUUGCCUAGCACAUGGGAGCCACUGGGUUCAAUACCCAGCACCA
This 68-nucleotide transfer RNA is filed under the name Marmota monax (woodchuck). RNAcentral describes it as "tRNA.Ala". Lineage: Eukaryota; Metazoa; Chordata; Mammalia; Rodentia; Sciuridae. The record is from RNAcentral.